RNAcentral lists this transfer RNA (77 nucleotides) under Alphaproteobacteria bacterium. RNAcentral's name for it is "tRNA-Pro". It matches the Rfam family "tRNA". From Rfam's summary of the family: Transfer RNA (tRNA) molecules are approximately 80 nucleotides in length. The record is from RNAcentral. Lineage: Bacteria; Pseudomonadati; Pseudomonadota; Alphaproteobacteria.
CGGAGCGUAGCGCAGUCUGGUAGCGUAUCAAGCUGGGGGCUUGAGGGUCGGGGGUUCAAAUCCCUCCGCUCCGACCA